Molecule: ribosomal RNA, 468 nt
Filed under: uncultured bacterium
Lineage: Bacteria
Description: partial 16S ribosomal RNA
Rfam family: Bacterial small subunit ribosomal RNA
Source: RNAcentral
GACGAACGCUGGCGGCGUGCUUAACACAUGCAAGUCGAACGGAAAGGCCCUGCUUUUGUGGGGUGCUCGAGUGGCGAACGGGUGAGUAACACGUGAGUAACCUGCCCUUGACUUUGGGAUAACUUCAGGAAACUGGGGCUAAUACCGGAUAGGAGCUCCUGCUGCAUGGUGGGGGUUGGAAAGUUUCGGCGGUUGGGGAUGGACUCGCGGCUUAUCAGCUUGUUGGUGGGGUAGUGGCUUACCAAGGCUUUGACGGGUAGCCGGCCUGAGAGGGUGACCGGCCACAUUGGGACUAAGAUACGGAGCAGACUCCAACGGGAGGCAACAGUGGGGAAUAUUGCACAAUGGGCGGAAGCCUGAUGCAGAAACGCCGCGUGCGGGAUGACGGCCUUCGGGUUGUAAACCGCUUUCGCCUGUGACGAAGCGUGAGUGACGGUAAUGGGUAAAGAAGCACCGGCUAACUACGUG